This is a long non-coding RNA of Oncorhynchus tshawytscha (Chinook salmon), 2713 nucleotides long. Lineage: Eukaryota; Metazoa; Chordata; Actinopteri; Salmoniformes; Salmonidae. The record is from Ensembl.
GUCUAAGGGGACUGAGCAAUGGAGGAUGGAGAAGGGGCCAUGUCAUACCACAUCAUCAUACCACAACUUGCACCUUAUAGCUCUGUUGCCACGGUAAUCAAAACAGACCAUUUCCUCGUGUCAACUUCGAGUGAGAGGCUUGUGGUUAGAGCAGGGCGCGAUGAUGAGUGGCGCCACAGAAGAGGAAAUCACAGAUAAAGGGGAAGAGGCAGUGAGAUGAGAAAGCUGGACAAUUAGACAUGAUGAGAGGGGCUCUGAUUUCCCUUGCCCUGUGCCUUCCUCACCUCUUCGCCACUCUUGUCCUCCAUUCCACCAUUGCGGCUUCACCGAGCGCCACAGAAACCACAACAUCAGUUCUAGACCUUAGUAUCAGCACUCCAACAUCAGACCCCCUGAUGCUUCCACUCUCCACAACUGAAAACCACCCUGAUAGGUCUAGUGGAACGGCUAAAACACAAUUGAAGAAAAGCACUCGCUUAGCAGCUGUCAACAACUCAGGCAGAACGACUCAAGGAAGAGGCAUUCUCAGAACAGGAACUGCCACUUACGCCACCACAGCCGUACAGAAGAGCAACAGGCACACAACUGCAGGAGACUUGAGGAAGGAAACAGAGAGCCACAAUCACCAUGAGACUCUUCCCUUCAGCAGACACACAGCCUCACCCACAACUGACCACCCCAGCACCACCACUCUCCCCAGGGAGGAAGGGACUGAGUAUCAUGACAGCAGCAACAUUGAAAUAGCCAGAGAACUGAACACACCAAAUUCCAUAGAGAGUUGGGCUGCUGACACCAGUAAUGACUCCAAGCUAGCGAAGCCACACUUAGACAGAUCACAAGCAGCAGACCAGCACACUGCUACACAAGGACUAGAGACUGCUUCAGGAGAUUACCACACAACACAGAGAGACUUCUUCACAAUCACCCCAACUAGUAGAGCAUCAGGUUUGAACAGAGGUAAACAAAGUAAGGCCAACAGCGUCGCAACAACAACGACGGUUUCACCUACGUACACAGUCACACGUCCUGGUUUGUAUGAGCACAUGACCGUGACUUACAGGGCUACCGGCUACAAAACACAACCUGACGACACAAGCCAGUCUAAGGACUACACCACAGCCACAGUUUCGAUCCCCCAUGCUGACAAUAGCACAGCUCCAUAUAUCAAUGCAAACACAUUUACAGAUAAUAACACAGACAACUACACAGACACACUUUCAUACAGUAAUACCACAACCUCUAAUAAUUGUAACACAACAGUACAUUUGAAUAAGAAAACUCAUACUCAUUCCCUCGGACACAACCACACAAUCUCAGGCUAUGACAACAGGCUGAACAACACAACUGAAAACAAUGUGCAUCAUCGUCCUGAGUGCGGAGAGGCAGAUGAAAGGUCCCCACCAUUGCCUCCUGGCUCUACUAGACUGGUCUGUUUCAUUGUUCUGUGGGCUCUGGGAUUGACUGCUUCGGUCUUCCUUGGUCUCACCGUCUUCCUAUCUGUGCGUUUGCCAGUCCAGAGAGAGAGGGAGAGGAGAGUGAGGAGUGGAGGAGAGAAGGUGUCAGGGGUGGAUCUGGAGAAUCUGUGGGUUGACCAGAUAUCAUCGGUGGAGGAGAGGGUGGAAUUCUGGUACGCCAACGGCUCCACCAUGGGACCCGGCCAUAAACGGAGGGAGAGAGGGAGGGAGAGGGGGAAGGAGAGGGGGAGGAGGGAGCAGGGGAGGCAGAAAGGGGUAGAGUGUGACAACCUGUGGACUCAACCCAAAGUGACACUGGAGGACAUCACUGAUUUCUGGUAUGCAAAUGGAAGCGCGAUACCAGAAGAAACUACAGACCAAACAUUGUUGGAGACCUGUGUAUGAUUCAGUUUUUUGUACUACAGUGCUACAAUAUACCUGGAAUUACUUUGGAGAGAAAUGUUCAUGCUUAGUUCACCAAUUCCAUGGCAGAUUUGAAAACUAUAAUCCUGACAGAGUUGAAACAUUUCCAAUAUGAAUUGAUAAUCUGUAUGUUUAUUGGCUGUAACAAAAGUAUAAGAUCUACAUAAGUCUACUGAAAGACAGAUUAAGCCUGGGUCUGAUCAGAGAGAGAGGAAUAGAGAGAGAGAUUAGAACAACAUGUCUAACUGGAAAUAACACUUGAUAAGAGAGUUCCCAUUUUAAGACAAUUCAGACCUUGUUAGUGACACAUCAUCGUCAUGUGUCAAACAGCAACGAAGAGAAAGGUGCCAUUUCUACAAACACACCGAGACAAAUACUGUUGACUCCUAAUACUGUACAUGCACUGUUAUCAGGAGCUAGUCAAAAUAAAAAAGGAUUGGUGAACUGCACUGGGCAUAAACAAUUUAGCUUAAUUUAUCUGACUGACACGUUUUCAUGCGUACUGUAUUCCAGAUAAUAGCUUAGUUAAGGUCUUAUUAUAGAUAAGCUGUUUAAAUACAAUUUGAUUUGAUUUGAUUUGAAAGGUGUAUGUCACAUUCACGUGUUUAGCAGAUGGUAUUGCAGGUGUAGCGAAAUGCUUGUGUUUCUAGUUCCAAUAGUGCAGUAAUAUCUAACAAGUAAUAUCCACAAUCUAAAGUAAAGGAAUGGAAAUAAGAAUAUAUAAAUAUUUGGAAGAGCAAUGUCAGAGUGGCAUAGACUAAGAUACAGUAGAAUAUGAUAGAAUUUAGUAUUUACAUAUGAGAUGAGUAAUACAAAAUAUGUAAAAGUGGCCAGUG